This 461-nucleotide ribosomal RNA is filed under the name uncultured bacterium. RNAcentral's name for it is "partial 16S ribosomal RNA". It matches the Rfam family "Bacterial small subunit ribosomal RNA", at positions 28 to 523 of the family's 1533-position model. The record is from RNAcentral.
GAUGAACGCUGGCGGCGUGCCUAACGCAUGCAAGUCGAGCGGCAGCGCGGUCUUCGGACUGGCGGCGAGCGGCGGACGGCUGAGUAACGCGUGGGAACGUGCCCCAAAGUGAGGGAUAAGCACCAGAAAUGGUGUCUAAUACCGCAUAUGGUCUUCGGAUUAAAGCUUCGGCGCUUUGGGAGCGGCCCGCGUCUGAUUAGAUAGUUGGUGAGGUAAAGGCUCACCAAGUCGACGAUCAGUAGCUGGUCUGAGAGGAUGAUCAGCCAGACUGGAACUGAGACACGGUCCAGACUCCUACGGGAGGCAGCAGUGAGGAAUCUUCCACAAUGGGGGCAACCCUGAUGGAGCAACGCCGCGUGCAGGAUGAAGGCCUUCGGGUCGUAAACUGCUUUUAUUAGCGAAGAACAUGACGGUAACUAAUGAAUAAGGGUCGGCUAACUACGUGCCAGCAGCCGCCGUAA